Long non-coding RNA from Thunnus maccoyii (southern bluefin tuna), 1096 nucleotides. RefSeq lists it as uncharacterized. The record is from RefSeq and is a predicted model, not a curated record. Lineage: Eukaryota; Metazoa; Chordata; Actinopteri; Scombriformes; Scombridae. The transcript is spliced from 2 exons.
GAGUGAUUUCCUGCUUUCCAGGCACUUGUCCCAUUCAUUUCAGUGUUCCUCGAAGAAAUUGUUAUGGCUGUAGCUGUACCCCAGAAGAUUCUUGUGUUUCUUGUGUUUUUCCCCUCCUCUGUGUUUCCAGUGCUACCCUGUCUGUCCCUAUUUGUCUGUGUCUGUGUGUUGGUGUGCUUUCCCUUCCUCACUCUCCUAGCUCUCCCUGCACACCUGCCUUCAAUUAGCUCAUCUCCUCUCCAGUAUAUCAACCUCGGUUUUUCACUCACUCUUGGCCAGAUUGUUGUUUCAACUCAGUGGUAGUAAACGUUUCCAGGCCAAUUAGUUAGUGAAUUCCUUGUGUAAAGUUUUCAGAUGCAUUGUGUAUUCUAACCUGUUUGUCUCCCAUCCCAGGAUCUCAUUCCUGCCUGCCUGUCUGCCAGCUGCCUCCUUGCCUCUAAGCUACCCCCAGCCAGCCAUGCUUCUUCUCAUUCCACGCUCACCCCCGCCACACACCUCCAUUACACUCUCUCUCUCUCAUGCUGCCAACGGAUCCCCUUCUCCGUCAUCAGCUCCAAGUCCAGUAACUCCCCUCCAUUGAACCUUUUCUUAACCAACACCACUCUGUCCUUGUCCUGCAUCUGGGUCCCUCCUGAGUCUGUCACAAAAAGCAACUUGCAGAUGUUGUCUCCAGGAGCCUGGGGGCGUGGUGAUACAGCUCACCUGCGGCUCAUCCAGCUCACAGUACACCUACUGCUCAUCCACUCAUCAGAGGCCUGCAGUAUUUAAACCCAAGUCCUAGACUCCACUCUCCGCCAGAUUGUUCCAUGUACUACAUGGUAUAGACACAUUGGCUGACUUUCCUAGUUAAGAAGUUACUCUCUUCCGUAGUGUUACUCUGGCUAAUCCUGUUUACCUGUGCCCCCGGUUCAUCGCCUCCAGUCCCCCUAGUCUGCCUGCUCAGCUCUGUGCCUUGUUUGUCUCCUGGUCUGCCAAAGACUCUGUUCACCACCUGCAUUCCACUACCUGCCCUGGGUCAGGUACUGAUCAAUGCCUGCCCCGCUUCCCAAUCAGAAUCUGUUACAUCCACAAUAAACUGCCUUUGUCUGAACUUUUA